This 468-nucleotide ribosomal RNA is filed under the name uncultured bacterium. RNAcentral's name for it is "partial 16S ribosomal RNA". It matches the Rfam family "Bacterial small subunit ribosomal RNA", at positions 28 to 507 of the family's 1533-position model. The record is from RNAcentral.
GACGAACGCUGGCGGCGUGCUUAACACAUGCAAGUCGAACGGAAAGGCCCUGCUUUUGUUGGGUGCUCGAGUGGCGAACGGGUGAGUAACACGCGAGUAACCUGCCCUUGACUUUGGGAUAACUUCAGGAAACUCGGGCUAAUACCGGAUAGGAGCUCCUGCUCCAUGGGGGGGGUUGGAAAGUUUCGGCGGUUGGGGAUGGACUCGCGGUUUAUCCGCUUGUUGGUGGGGUAGUGGCUUACCAAGGCUUUGACGGGUAGCCGGCCUGGGAGGGUUACCGGCCACAUUGGGACUGCGAUACGGCCCAGACUCCUACGGGAGGCAGCAGUGGGGAAUAUUACACAAUGGGCGGAAGCCAGAUGCAGCAACGCCGCGUUCGGGAUGACGGCCUUCGGGUUGUAAACCGCUUUCGCCUGUGACGAGGCGUGAGUGACGGUAAUGGGUAAAAAAGCACCGGCUAACUACGUG